Molecule: non-coding RNA, 61 nt
Filed under: Ditylum brightwellii
Lineage: Eukaryota; Bacillariophyta; Thalassiosirophyceae; Lithodesmiales; Lithodesmiaceae
Source: RNAcentral
AAAAGGGAAUGAUUUGCUUUGAGUUCCUGAAGAAUGGGCCAAGGGCAGGGCCGCUAUGCUG